AUGGUGGAGGGCUCCGUGUCCAACAUCGCCAACCUGAAGUUCCUCCUCCUGUGUUUCCAACAGAUGUCGGGACUCACCAUCAACUUCGACAAGAGCGGAGUGAUGGUCCUCGGCUACCCCCUGGACGAAGCUUUGUCCAUUGCGGACCGACUUAACUGCCGCCUGGGCACCUUCCCCACCACCUACUUGGGGGUGCCCAUUAGUCACUCCAGACUCACCGUCGGGGAUCUUCGCCCGACGGUGAUUAGGAUGCAGCACAGGGUCGAACCCUGGAGGGGACGCUGGCUGUCGAAGGCUGCCAGGGUGAUCCUAAUCAACUCCUCGCUGGUUAGCCUUCUCUGGUUUCUCAUGAGCUUCUACAGCCUGCAUGAGACCCUCCAUCAGGUGGUGGCCAAAUACCAGUCGAGGUUCUUCUGGGCUGGCAAGGGCGACAAGCAGAAGUACCAUAUGGUGAGCUGGCCCGACAUCUGCAAACCCAAAGACCAGGGGGGCCUUGCGAUCCUGUCCUCCCGACGCAUGAACAUUGUCCUCCUGACCCGAUGGCUGUGGCGUAUUGCCAAUGGGGAGGGAGGCCUCUGGCUC
RNAcentral lists this ribosomal RNA (582 nucleotides) under Triticum aestivum (bread wheat). RNAcentral describes it as "partial small subunit ribosomal RNA". Lineage: Eukaryota; Viridiplantae; Streptophyta; Magnoliopsida; Poales; Poaceae. The record is from RNAcentral.